Long non-coding RNA from Betta splendens (Siamese fighting fish), 866 nucleotides. RefSeq lists it as uncharacterized. NCBI's taxonomy places the organism in Eukaryota, Metazoa, Chordata, Actinopteri, Anabantiformes, Osphronemidae. The record is from RefSeq and is a predicted model, not a curated record. The transcript is spliced from 3 exons.
UAGACCUGCAGACGCGAACAGCCCCUCUCAGCACUCAUUAGGACUCAUUAGGCACACAUUAGGAUUCAAAUGCAUCGUUCGGGCCCUAUGUCAUCUACCUCUUUGCUUUGUCCUCCACUGUGUAUCAUAGGUGUGCCAAACCUUGGCAUGUGCCUGUGGAAAAUAUUUUCACAUUUCAGGCUUUCAGGCACUUUCAGUUUUAUGAAAUAUGUUCAAACCCAGCUGAGUUAAAUGAAACAAAACCCUUUUUCCACAUGGGAAUCACCACAAACAGAAUUUAUUCUCUAUAAUUAAGACCAAGUCUCCUCUAAGAUAUUGUUGAAGGUGUGUAAUCGUUUUGUUAUUAACUGUACAUUCUCUGACCUUAAUGAUGUGAUGUGCGGCUCUGUACGCUCCUGUUCCGCUCAGCCUCACUCCAGGCGCAUGCUCACCUGUCUCAUAGCCUUCAACCGCCACCGACUGUGGAUGGGAGGUGACGGUACAUUCAGCAACCAGUGACCUGUGUUCUGCCCACUUUUAUGUCCCAGUACGGUUUGGACCUACCCAUGGAUUGUUGAAAGUGAUCCAAUGCUUGACCCGGUUGCCAAAUCUUUCAAAGCACAGGCUCCUUCUGUUUGAUAGGCUGAACUGCCGGCACCCCACGAAAAUCCUAACGAACACAUCAUCAGCAAUGCGCAUUCAGCUCCACAAUGCCCAGGUUUUAGAUGGAAUAACAUCAACAACAUCCUAAAAUAUAGCAAUGUAUGUGCUAAACAAGACAACAGCAUACCUUAUGAAGAAUUCAUUUGCAGCAGGUGUAAGUGCUGAGCUCGAAUCCCUGGGGAAAUGGAGAUACUCCUGGACAGCGGGGCACGUAGAAAGCCGUA